CGUUAAAUAAUAAAUGAAAAUAUAAAGUCAUUAUUUUUUGGAAUUUUAACAGAAGAUGAUCAUCGUUUUUUUCCUUGUGUUCAAUUACUACCGCAAUCAUUUUACGCUAUGUCCAACAACUUCCUCCGCUUCAUGAGACAAUUGCAGGAAACCGCGUAACCUUUAACCCUUUGACGCGUCGUGCAUAAUGUAAUACUUUAUUUUGAGUAUCAAAAUUCCUUUUUGUGAUUAAAUUAUACAAUACCUCGAUGUUUAUCUAAAAUCUCAUCCGUACAUUUAUAUGUUUUUUUAAGUUUCUACAGUAAUUUUCUAUAGUAUAUUUUAAUAAUUGUGGAAAAAGUAACUGUUGCAAAAAUAUUAAACAUAAUAUUUCAGAUCGAUCUCACGGCUCCAAGAUUCAAGGAUUCGUCGAGGAUUGAGAGAGUCGCCGAAUCAAUCGAGGAUUUUAGGAGGAGCGAACGAAUUUCAGUUAAAUGAGUGGAGCGAAGGUAGAAUGAACAAAAAGUGAAUAGAAAUCUGUGAUAUACAAAAAGAGGUAUAAUCAGGUGACGUGCGUAAGGAAAAAUUAAAUAAAGCGAGCUCGACGAAAAUGUUCGAAAGUGCAGAAUAUGUGGCGAAGAAUUAAGACUUAUUAAAAUCGUUUGACCCUGCCUCUUACAUCGCACUAAACCUAAUAUAUGGCUUUAUACCUCGAGCGAGAUGGAUAGGUGGGAACUAUCGGAGGAGAGAACAAGACAACGAAUGAUUGAGGAGGAAGACGAAAAAGGAGGGACCGUAGCGUGUGAAAUCGAGAGUCUUUUAUUGCGUCUAGCCUCCUUCGCAAAUAAUAUCCACCACACUGGGCUCCAUUAGGACUGGUUCCAGACAUCGGUGCACUGCACUGCUCAGAAUUUCAUCCAGCAAACAAUGCACCACACUGCAAGCAACAAAGCCAGCAUUAAUAACGAUUAAAAUUCCCUCUUGUUGAUUUACAAUAAGUCGACGAGAAAGUCAAGUUCUUACUUCUCGUCCGAAACAAAUCUCCAGAGGUAAAGCUGCAGAUAAUGUGUAUCCACUUGGAUCUGUUGCAAACCGUACUUGCUGAAUGUCCGCAGCCUCACACAUUCGAGGAAAGUCUAUACAUGAGGUAAAUCCGACAAUAAAAUCGAUUCUUGUUGCAAGCGAUGGCAGAAGCACGAAGUAUAUUGCGUAGCGAGCGAUGGUGGAGUUUGUGCUGUACAAGCGGGAAGAUAAGUCGGCUUGGCAAAGUGGAUAAUGGCGGUGCUAUUUUGUCAUUGCGUCCACUCUGCAGCACCUGAGCGAUUAUUGCGCGACGUCGUACAUCGUCUGCUAAAAGUAUUACUCCACGAUGAGAAGAUCUCGAUCCGUUCAGAGAAUAACUUAUGGAUAUUCGUCGCCAGCGAGGAAUCUAUGUGACUGGGCGUAUACGACGACCAAUUGGAUCUGUAGUGAUGCCUCGAUACGCUGACACUAAAAAACAUGCAAAUCUUGUGUUUUUUACUUGACACUGAAGCUUGAAGAAUCCAAGGAUCAACUAGCCGAAACAGGUUCGAUCGUGUUCAACCAAUCUCUCGUCUCUACGGACUUUCUCAACAUUUGCGACACUGUUAGACCUUGAAUUCGCACGUAGUGGUUCAGUAGGUUCUGCGCUGCACUCUGAAAGCAGUCACACAUCUCCGACCCUGUGGUGACAAUGUUCUCC
This is a long non-coding RNA of Harpegnathos saltator (Jerdon's jumping ant), 1702 nucleotides long. RefSeq lists it as uncharacterized. NCBI's taxonomy places the organism in Eukaryota, Metazoa, Arthropoda, Insecta, Hymenoptera, Formicidae. The transcript is spliced from 6 exons. The record is from RefSeq and is a predicted model, not a curated record.